This 1539-nucleotide ribosomal RNA is filed under the name Klebsiella pneumoniae. Its description in RNAcentral is "bacterial SSU rRNA". It matches the Rfam family "Bacterial small subunit ribosomal RNA". Lineage: Bacteria; Pseudomonadati; Pseudomonadota; Gammaproteobacteria; Enterobacterales; Enterobacteriaceae. The record is from RNAcentral.
AAAUUGAAGAGUUUGAUCAUGGCUCAGAUUGAACGCUGGCGGCAGGCCUAACACAUGCAAGUCGAGCGGUAGCACAGAGAGCUUGCUCUCGGGUGACGAGCGGCGGACGGGUGAGUAAUGUCUGGGAAACUGCCUGAUGGAGGGGGAUAACUACUGGAAACGGUAGCUAAUACCGCAUAAUGUCGCAAGACCAAAGUGGGGGACCUUCGGGCCUCAUGCCAUCAGAUGUGCCCAGAUGGGAUUAGCUAGUAGGUGGGGUAACGGCUCACCUAGGCGACGAUCCCUAGCUGGUCUGAGAGGAUGACCAGCCACACUGGAACUGAGACACGGUCCAGACUCCUACGGGAGGCAGCAGUGGGGAAUAUUGCACAAUGGGCGCAAGCCUGAUGCAGCCAUGCCGCGUGUGUGAAGAAGGCCUUCGGGUUGUAAAGCACUUUCAGCGGGGAGGAAGGCGGUGAGGUUAAUAACCUCAUCGAUUGACGUUACCCGCAGAAGAAGCACCGGCUAACUCCGUGCCAGCAGCCGCGGUAAUACGGAGGGUGCAAGCGUUAAUCGGAAUUACUGGGCGUAAAGCGCACGCAGGCGGUCUGUCAAGUCGGAUGUGAAAUCCCCGGGCUCAACCUGGGAACUGCAUUCGAAACUGGCAGGCUAGAGUCUUGUAGAGGGGGUAGAAUUCCAGGUGUAGCGGUGAAAUGCGUAGAGAUCUGGAGGAAUACCGGUGGCGAAGGCGGCCCCCUGGACAAAGACUGACGCUCAGGUGCGAAAGCGUGGGGAGCAAACAGGAUUAGAUACCCUGGUAGUCCACGCCGUAAACGAUGUCGAUUUGGAGGUUGUGCCCUUGAGGCGUGGCUUCCGGAGCUAACGCGUUAAAUCGACCGCCUGGGGAGUACGGCCGCAAGGUUAAAACUCAAAUGAAUUGACGGGGGCCCGCACAAGCGGUGGAGCAUGUGGUUUAAUUCGAUGCAACGCGAAGAACCUUACCUGGUCUUGACAUCCACAGAACUUUCCAGAGAUGGAUUGGUGCCUUCGGGAACUGUGAGACAGGUGCUGCAUGGCUGUCGUCAGCUCGUGUUGUGAAAUGUUGGGUUAAGUCCCGCAACGAGCGCAACCCUUAUCCUUUGUUGCCAGCGGUUAGGCCGGGAACUCAAAGGAGACUGCCAGUGAUAAACUGGAGGAAGGUGGGGAUGACGUCAAGUCAUCAUGGCCCUUACGACCAGGGCUACACACGUGCUACAAUGGCAUAUACAAAGAGAAGCGACCUCGCGAGAGCAAGCGGACCUCAUAAAGUAUGUCGUAGUCCGGAUUGGAGUCUGCAACUCGACUCCAUGAAGUCGGAAUCGCUAGUAAUCGUAGAUCAGAAUGCUACGGUGAAUACGUUCCCGGGCCUUGUACACACCGCCCGUCACACCAUGGGAGUGGGUUGCAAAAGAAGUAGGUAGCUUAACCUUCGGGAGGGCGCUUACCACUUUGUGAUUCAUGACUGGGGUGAAGUCGUAACAAGGUAACCGUAGGGGAACCUGCGGUUGGAUCACCUCCUUA